This 403-nucleotide ribosomal RNA is filed under the name bacterium. Its description in RNAcentral is "partial 16S ribosomal RNA". It matches the Rfam family "Bacterial small subunit ribosomal RNA", at positions 355 to 776 of the family's 1533-position model. The record is from RNAcentral.
UGGGGAAUAUUGCACAAUGGAGGGAACUCUGAUGCAGCGACGCCUCGUGAACGAAGAAGGCUUUCGAGUCGUAAAGUUCUUUUAUAUGGGAAGAUAAUGACGGUACCAUAAGAAAAAGCCCCGGCUAACUACGUGCCAGCAGCCGCGGUAAUACGUAGGGGGCUAGCGUUGUCCGGAAUCACUGGGCGUAAAGGGUUCGCAGGCGGAAAUGCAAGUAAGGUGUAAAAGGCAGUAGCUUAACUACUGUAAGCAUUUGAAACUGCAUAUCUUGAGAAGAGUAGAGGUAAGUGGAAUUUUUAGUGUAGCGGUGAAAUGCGUAGAUAUUAAAAAGAAUACCGGUGGCGAAGGCGACUUACUGGGCUCAUUCUGACGCUGAGGAACGAAAGCGUGGGUAGCAAACAGG